This is a long non-coding RNA of Cygnus atratus (black swan), 387 nucleotides long. RefSeq lists it as uncharacterized. The record is from RefSeq and is a predicted model, not a curated record. Lineage: Eukaryota; Metazoa; Chordata; Aves; Anseriformes; Anatidae. The transcript has 3 exons.
GCAUGGUGAUGACAAUAUCACUUACCUCUUGUGAGGACCUGGCUUCUCACGGCUGCUGAGAACGUAUUGCCCUGUUGGGAGACACCAGGGAAUUACAAUUUCAAUGCUAAGGAGCAGCACAAGGGGAUAGAGAGCAGACAAACUGCAUUAUCCUGCCCUAUUCUUCUUUGGUCAAAGACACUCCUCAGUGAUGCCAAGCUAUGGUUAUCCCAGGAUGCCUUCGAGCCCAGUUUGGUUGAAGCAGACAGGGAUGGUGCACUAGUCUGUGGUCUGGCAGCAGGGAAGGGGGGGACCCUGAGCUGGUUUCUGGUCAGUGGGAACCUGCAAGGUCAGUGUUAGUUUUACAGAACAUCUCUCCAGCUUCAUCUCCAUGUGGCCUAUCAGCAU